GCGGGCGUGGCGGAACUGGUAGACGCGCUAGGUUUAGGUCCUAGUGGCCGUGAGGCCAUGGGGGUUCGAGUCCCUCCGCCCGCACCA
RNAcentral lists this transfer RNA (87 nucleotides) under Alphaproteobacteria bacterium. RNAcentral describes it as "tRNA-Leu". It matches the Rfam family "tRNA". From Rfam's summary of the family: Transfer RNA (tRNA) molecules are approximately 80 nucleotides in length. Their secondary structure includes four short double-helical elements and three loops (D, anti-codon, and T loops). Further hydrogen bonds mediate the characteristic L-shaped molecular structure. tRNAs have two regions of fundamental functional importance: the anti-codon, which is responsible for specific mRNA codon recognition, and the 3' end, to which the tRNAs corresponding amino acid is attached (by aminoacyl-tRNA synthetases). tRNAs cope with the degeneracy of the genetic code in two manners: having more than one tRNA (with a specific anti-codon) for a particular amino acid; and 'wobble' base-pairing, i.e. permitting non-standard base-pairing at the 3rd anti-codon position. Lineage: Bacteria; Pseudomonadati; Pseudomonadota; Alphaproteobacteria. RNAcentral also lists the same sequence under 2 other names. The record is from RNAcentral.